AAAUAGUCCAAAUUGGGUUCAAUUCAUAAGUGGAUAUCACAUCCAUCAUCACAAUACAAAAUUAUCAAAUCAACACCCCAUCAAAUGUUCUCAUUAAAGAAUUGCAUCUUGAACCACUCCAUCCCACCGUUCAAAGUAGCAAGCCCACUCAGAGGAAAAUGUUAACACAAAGCUACUCCAUCUUUUAAAAUGUAGGAAGACAGUAUAUGCAUCAAAAUAUAAAAAAGUUGAAAAGAAUAUGGACGCGAGACCUGUGUGUUGCUCUUCUUUGAUCGAAACCACCGGAGCUUCAAUUCCUACAAUCCAAUCCAAAUCUCACAUUAAGGCGUUGGCGAGCUGAUUUGCACUUCAUCGGCAACAAGACCAGCAUUGGCUUCAUCGGCAACAUCGGCUUCAUAAGCGACGACAACGUCGGCUGCAUCCUCGACGCUCCUCUUCGAUUUGGACUGAUCUCCAUCGACGACGAGUUAGAUCUGAACAUUUCGGGGGAGUAGAAUCUCCGGCAGUUAUACUCCAGUUGUUCAACGUUGCGGUCGGCGAUGGAAGGCAGUGGAUCAACGAUGGAAACUGAGAGAGAGAGAGAGAGAGCAGAUGAGAAUGAGAGGUGAGGGAGAGGAGAUAGAUAAUAAGAUUAGGGGUAAAAAUGUAUUUUUGUUAAGAAACAUUAGAAUGGGUUAAGGAACAUGUUUUUCAUUCGGUUGAACUAUGAAAACUUUAUUUUUGUGUAUUUAAGCAUUUUCCUUUUAAAAUAUUAUUUUUUUUAAGAGGUUUGGAAUUCAACGUACCUAGCUGUGAGGCUAAAAUAUAAAGUUUAAAACUAAUCAAAAAGUAGAUAUAUUCCACAUCAUUUAAAUGUAUAAAGCCAUUAAAUGUUAGAAAAAAUUGUAAAGAGAAACUACAUAAUUCUUGCAAUAAUGAUAGUUUUCCAUCUAAAACAUAUGCUAAGUGAUGAUGGGCUGAGUAGUGAGCCUCAUCAUUUGAUUAAACGGCAUUAAUGAAUGCAAAUAUUAUAUAAUAUCAAAUUUUUUUUUUAGACUAAUGAUAGAUGAUCUAUAUUUUAAUUUGAUUGUGUGGCUCCUUUUGAUAGUUGUGUGUAUCUUUAAGAGAUGGUUUGCCUGCUUAUGCAAUAUCUACAACAAAUUUUGUAACUUAAUUAAAUGUGUAUUGUACAAUUAAUGUCUUUUGUAACUUAAUUUUGUGUUUAUAAGUUCUAAUAUUGCUUCUUUUUUUAAGUUGUGGUUUGAUGUUCUUAGGAAGAAAUCAUCUCAUGUUGUCCUUGCUCCACCUUAUGCCAUUGACUUCAAGUUUCCGACUUCUGAAUCAUCCAAAAUUCAGUUUAUGAAUGUAUCAACUUAUUAAUGUGAUGACAGUUCAUUACGUUGCUCUUGUGAUGAUUGCCCUAGCGUGUGUUCAAGUUUUAAAGAUAUUCUACUCUCCAUCAAACUCUGGCCAGUCGAGGUUAGAAUGAGUGUGUUUGAUGAUGCAUUUGUGACUUUCAUUAUUUGGGGAUAUGAUUGGAAGGGUCAGCCUUUGUUGCAUUUAAAUGACUUGAGACUUAUUCAUGCUUUUAGGUCACACUUAUGCUUCUCAAAUUCAAGGAUGGUGAACUGGCUUGGGGGAUAGCUAAUUUUAUGGGAAGUUGCAGUUGGUGGAUUGUGAUCGGUUAUUAUCGCAUUUUCAGGAAUCGUAGGUUCUAUUUAGGUAUGCUUCUUGGUUUUGUACAUCAUGAAUUACGUAUAUUAUUUAAGAUAGAUUGAUUUAGAUUUAUUAGUGUAUAAGUAAGGUUGUUGUAUUAGUAAAGAUCAAUUUAUGUUAUUAAGAUGAUGUUAGGCUUGUUGAAUGAUGAAUAUGGUUGUCGGUAAGCCGUGACUUGGUUGGUUAAAGUAUUUUUUUUUUUUUUGAAUUGUUAAAGUGUUAAUUAACAAUUUUGAGGUAAGAGAUUCAAAUCUCAUAGACAUAUGUAAAGUUUGUGAGUUAUUUAAUAAAAGUUUUUUUUUUUAAAUGAUAAAUAUGGUUCGAGUCUAGUGUUUUUUUAAUGAUGAAUUAUAGGGGUGGGCAUAAAAAACCGUAAUCCCGAACCCGUUAGGCCCGUCUCGUCUCUUCCUGUUUAUAUAUAACGGGACAGGACACAGGACGGAUAAUUCAAGUCUGUUUAGGCCAGUCUCAUCCCAACUAUUUUAAUGAUUGAUUUUUUUUUGAUUAUGAUGUGAUUUGAGCAUUUCAUUUCAGUAUUUUGAUCUUAGCUUUUUGUUUCUUUAAGUUACUAGGUUGUGUUUAAUUCAAUAACAAUGAUGUUUAAUACUUUAAUUUAUUGAUUGUUGUAGACUCUCUUCUUACACCCUAGUAGUGAUGACAAAUUUAGAAAAAGAAAGUAGUAUAAACUCUCUUAUUACACCGUGUUGUACUUGUAAAUAUGUUACAAGUACCUGUUAAUACAUAAUAGAAUAGAAAGCACUAUAAAACUAUAGAACUCUUUCUUUUGCUUAAAAGUUUAUUUUCAACUUUUUUUAUCUGGGAUUGGGUUCGUCCGGUCCCGUCCGGGAUAGGGCCCAGGUGGGAGGAAAUCUAAAAAACGCAAAGCCCGUCCUGUCCCGUCCCGUCCCGUCCCGAUUUCAAUGUCUGGGACAGGCCAUUGGAUUAGCUCUGUUCCGUCUCAUCCCGUUCUAUGCUCAGCCCUAAUGAAUUAGGCCUACUUUGGUAUAGCUUCGAAACAGUUUUUAUCCGAACUUUUAGAUUUUAUAGUGUUUGGUAAAUGAAAGAAAAAUAUUAUUUUUUUUGAAAAUUACAGGUCACUAGCAGCAGCUUUUAGAAGCAACAUAAAUGUUAAUUUUACUGUCACUAAAAACACUAGAAAUUAAUAAAUUUUAUCUUGGCAGCACUUUUAAAACUAAUAUUUACCAAACACAAAACUGUUUUAAUUCACCGCUUAAUCCCAAUACAGCAGCAAAUAAUAGUGUUAUGAAGAUACAAGAUAGUGUUAAGUCUAGUGGUAACAAAUUCAGAGGAAUUGUGCUAGCGAGGAAACAUUUUACGUAUGGUAACAAAUCCAGUAGUAACAAAUCCUACAGGCUAUAACAUUAGCUCAACUAAACCAUUUUACAUAUAGUAGGGGAAAGAACCUAUUCUUGUUCACCAUUAGAGUUUUCUCAAGGUCACGCGAUGCUUAUCAUUUCAUUUGUUUUGUUAAUCAUUUCAUCUACAUUACUAGAGAUAUGCUAAAACAAAAGCAUCAAGUUGAGCUUAGUCUUUUCUUGAAGGUAUCAUAUGGUUCCAUCCCAUUUCUGACGAUAGAUUACCCAUAAAACAAUACUUGCGCCCACUUUGAAGCCUCACACCCUAAAAUCACAUUCACAUUCACAUAGCGAAUGUGACAAAGGAUUGGUUGCCAUCACAUGCUCGAACGUGUUGCCGGUGGUCGACGAUUUGGUGGUGAUUCAGAUUGAUGCUGUGGAAUCGGUGUCCACAACACUGGGAGAGCAAAGGUGGUUAUAGGCACGGCAGCGGAGCUGGCAGGUCUCGAAGCAAGGGCUGAGGUUGUCACGAUGGUGUCAGCCUUGGCGACUGUGUCGACAGCCUAGGAGAGCCCCCCGACAAAGGUAGGAAACCCUAACUCAAAUCUAGGGGUUUAGACCGAAUCAGGUUGUGGUAGUGUGUUAGGCCUAGGGACUUUUAAUGGGCUGAGAAACUGUCACACCCCAAUUUUCAAAAUGAAAUUUUCAAAAAUUUUGGCAUAAUAUCCCUUAAAAUAAUAUAAUCCCAAAAUUUGUUUCAACAAAAUUUCAAUGAAACUAAACUCAAUGCGGAAAGUAAAAUUUACACACAACUCCAUAUUGAGUUAAAUAUUACAUUUCCUUGUUUACAUAAACUCGAGAGUCAAGAAAAUGAGACGCUCACAUGAGUUUAAUAUUGUUUAUCCCAAUGUAUAUAUAAAAAUAAAUAUAUACAAUGAACAACCAAAACCCAACAAAAAACCCUGCCACUAAGCCUCCACCUCAACCCUGCUGAUCCUCACCUGCAGGGCUAACCCCUACACCAAGAAUUGGUGUACCGGGUUGUAAACAACAAACUCGGUAAGAUAAAAAGCUCGUAUGAGUAAACUCAAAAAUAACACAACAUUUAUCACAUCCAAUAUUUCACAAGAGAGAUUGGAUCCAUAAUUAAAGAAAAACACACAUCCAACACAUUACCCAAGAAAAGUACCCAUGAGUCCCAGAUACUUAAUAAAAUACCCCUCAUGACCUACAACAACACUAUGUGUACCCAUGGGUCCCAGAUACCAUACAGUAUCUCCUAUGACCUACACUGACAGACGGACUAGAGCUCUAUUCCUAACCGUAACCAAUCACCCAGCCAAAGGCUUGGAACCCGGUUUGACUGUCUAAUAUCAAACACAAAAAUAAUAAAUAGCAACUUAACCGCAACCAAUCACCCAAUUAAGGACUUGGAACCCGGUUUGGCUAUUUAUCAAAAAAUCAGAAUAUCACAACAUUAACCUCAACAACACAAUAUCACAUCAUUAUUCUCAACCACACAAUAUCACAUCAUUAAUUCUAUCCUUUCACAUGGAAAUAUUUACCUGAACAAAAUAUAGAUAUUCCACAAGAAUAAUCUAUAAAUAAUCAAUAAACUCAUGAUCACAUGAAUCUCAAAAUAGCACAUAAAGAAAAUUUGUUUUACCUUACCUUUGAGCCGUUGGCGAUCAAGCUCAUAUAUUUUUAAAAACAAUUAAAAGCAUAAUAUUAAAUCCAACAUCAUCAUCAUUAUCAUCAUCACAUGACCAUAAUUAAAUUUGGUUCAAAAGUGAACCUUGGUAAGAUUUACUCACCUAGAAAUCCUGCUGCAAAACCCCCAACACAACGAAGGCAAGCCAAUCACAAAAUCACAAAUCACCUAAAAUCACACAAUUAAAAACCUUAGAAACCAAGGUAUUAAAGGAUAACACAUUACCCUUAAACUAACCCUUAGCUCAAGGGAUGACAACUUCCCAAAGUCGUUGAACUCAACGACACAAUAGAGCUGCCUCAACUCUUCAAAACCUAAACUCUAACCCAACCAAACCAACACCAAUAAACUUAAGUCCUAGCAUGCCAACAUUUCUUAAAAACUAGCCACACUACCACUCAACAAACUCACAGCAGUAAGGAUUACCUAACCACAGGAAACUAGGGCAGCAACUCAGCCGGACGCGCUGCCACGCGCCGCCACAGGCGAUGACGAGUGGGCCCCACGCGCCACCCUAAACUUCCAAAUUUGAAAAAACUCCCAACAGCAAAGUUGAAGCUUGAAGCAAGGGGAACAACUUUCAUAC
Molecule: long non-coding RNA, 5308 nt
Filed under: Fragaria vesca (wild strawberry)
Lineage: Eukaryota; Viridiplantae; Streptophyta; Magnoliopsida; Rosales; Rosaceae
Description: long non-coding RNA (FVES_LNC000630)
Source: RNAcentral